AAUAACAAGGCGGGCUGGACACCCCCCGCUGGGCACUGCUUCACGGCGUGCGCGGCGGGGCCGGCCCUGCUGAAUUAUUCACCCGUGUCUUUUGCGUACUUCUUGUUUCCUGGGUGGGCUCGCCCGCCCUCAGGACCAACCACAAACCUUUUGCAAUAGCAAUCAGCGUCAGUAACAACGUAAUUAAUUACAACUUUCAACAACGGAUCUCUUGGUUCUGGCAUCGAUGAAGAACGCAGCGAAAUGCGAUACGUAGUGUGAAUUGCAGAAUUCAGUGAAUCAUCGAAUCUUUGAACGCACAUUGCGCCCUUUGGUAUUCCAAAGGGCAUGCCUGUUCGAGCGUCAUUUGUACCCUCAAGCUUUGCUUGGUGUUGGGCGUCUUUUGUCUCCAGUUCGCUGGAGACUCGCCUUAAAGUCAUUGGCAGCCGGCCUACUGGUUUCGGAGCGCAGCACAAGUCGCGCUCUUUGCCAGCCAAGGUGCAGCGUCCAGCAAGCCUUUUUUUCAACCUUUGACCUCGGAUCAGGUAGGAUACCGCUGAA
This 540-nucleotide ribosomal RNA is filed under the name Alternaria triticina. Its description in RNAcentral is "eukaryotic LSU rRNA". The stretch from base 192 to 345 matches the Rfam family "5.8S ribosomal RNA". Lineage: Eukaryota; Fungi; Ascomycota; Dothideomycetes; Pleosporales; Pleosporaceae. The record is from RNAcentral.